UGACGACAUCAUCAGCACAGG
Molecule: unclassified non-coding RNA, 21 nt
Filed under: Mus musculus (house mouse)
Lineage: Eukaryota; Metazoa; Chordata; Mammalia; Rodentia; Muridae
Description: oocyte_clustered_small_RNA11610
Source: RNAcentral